RNAcentral lists this long non-coding RNA (250 nucleotides) under Crocodylus porosus (Australian saltwater crocodile). Its description in RNAcentral is "lncRNA (ENSCPRG00005018861.1)". The record is from RNAcentral. Lineage: Eukaryota; Metazoa; Chordata; Crocodylia; Crocodylidae.
AUGGAACAGGCACAGUUAUUUACACCUAAGAGGAGGGGAGUCCACGGGAUCCACACUGUAACCAGGAUAACACCAUACCUGUCUCAACACCCAGGAGAAACAGCAUGUGCUCUUUACAUGUCAUCAAGCAAGAGGUGAACAACCAGGAAUAAGGAAAGACAAAGUGAUGCUGUUAUCCUUAUGCAGGAGGUUUCAAUGAGAAAGUCAUCAGAGAUUUCUAGACACAGCUUAAGUAUUACCAAAAUCAUCA